Non-coding RNA from Nicotiana tabacum (common tobacco), 343 nucleotides. NCBI's taxonomy places the organism in Eukaryota, Viridiplantae, Streptophyta, Magnoliopsida, Solanales, Solanaceae. The record is from RefSeq and is a predicted model, not a curated record.
ACUAGGUAUUUAGGGGAAAAAAUUGUGUCAAAAUAAGUGUUGCUGCUAUCUUUACCUUUGUAAGACUAAAACAUAAGGUCUUUCUCACAGAAAAAUACAGUAAGAAACGAGCCCCUUUGCUUCUUCUUCUUCUCCUCUAAUCUUCCAUUAAUCUUCCCAGAUGCGCUACUAGAUCAUCUCUUUUCUAAAAGACUGGCUAUUAAAAAUGGUCGAGAUCCAACACUAAGUGAGCUACAUUUGCACGUUCAUACACAUGGUCAUGAUGAAAAAUCUUUUGUUAGUGAGUGAUCACGAAUUGUACAUAUUUGAGCUGUCCGGAAGCCAAUUCAAGCAAGAAGGCGAU